RNAcentral lists this ribosomal RNA (120 nucleotides) under Pteropus alecto (black flying fox). Lineage: Eukaryota; Metazoa; Chordata; Mammalia; Chiroptera; Pteropodidae. The record is from RNAcentral.
GUCUAUGGCCAUGCCACCCUGACCAAGCCCAAUCCCGUCUGAUCUUGGAAGCUAAGCAGGGUCGGGCCUGGUUGGUACUUGGAUGGGAGACCACCUAGGAAGACCAGGUGCUUGUAGGUG